GGGUUGUGAGGUUAAGCGACUAAGCGUACACGGUGGAUGCCCUGGCAGUCAGAGGCGAUGAAGGACGUGCUAAUCUGCGAAAAGCGUCGGUAAGGUGAUAUGAACCGUUAUAACCGGCGAUGUCCGAAUGGGGAAACCCAGUGCAAUUCGUUGCACUAUCGUUAACUGAAUACAUAGGUUAACGAGGCGAACCGGGGGAACUGAAACAUCUAAGUACCCCGAGGAAAAGAAAUCAACCGAGAUUCCCCCAGUAGCGGCGAGCGAACGGGGAGCAGCCCAGAGUCUGAAUCAGCUUGUGUGUUAGUGGAACGGUCUGGAAAGUCCGACGGUACAGGGUGAUAGUCCCGUACACCAAAAUGCACAGGCUGUGAACUCGAAGAGUAGGGCGGGACACGUGGUAUCCUGUCUGAAUAUGGGGGACCAUCCUCCAAGGCUAAAUACUCCUGACUGACCGAUAGUGAACCAGUACCGUGAGGGAAAGGCGAAAAGAACCCCGGCGAGGGGAGUGAAAAAGAACCUGAAACCGUGUACGUACAAGCAGUGGGAGCACCUUCGGGUGUGACUGCGUACCUUUUGUAUAAUGGGUCAGCGACUUAUAUUCUGUAGCAAGGUUAACCGUAUAGGGGAGCCGCAGGGAAACCGAGUCUUAACUGGGCGUUAAGUUGCAGGGUAUAGACCCGAAACCCGGUGAUCUAGCCAUGGGCAGGUUGAAGGUUGGGUAACACUAACUGGAGGACCGAACCGACUAAUGUUGAAAAAUUAGCGGAUGACUUGUGGCUGGGGGUGAAAGGCCAAUCAAACCGGGAGAUAGCUGGUUCUCCCCGAAAGCUAUUUAGGUAGCGCCUCGUGAACUCAUCUUCGGGGGUAGAGCACUGUUUCGGCUAGGGGGUCAUCCCGACUUACCAACCCGAUGCAAACUACGAAUACCGAAGAAUGUUAUCACGGGAGACACACGGCGGGUGCUAACGUCCGUCGUGAAGAGGGAAACAACCCAGACCGCCAGCUAAGGUCCCAAAGUCAUGGUUAAGUGGGAAACGAUGUGGGAAGGCACAGACAGCCAGGAUGUUGGCUUAGAAGCAGCCAUCAUUUAAAGAAAGCGUAAUAGCUCACUGGUCGAGUCGGCCUGCGCGGAAGAUGUAACGGGGCUAAACCAUGCACCGAAGCUGCGGCAGCGACACUAUGUGUUGUUGGGUAGGGGAGCGUUCUGUAAGCCUGCGAAGGUGUGCUGUGAGGCAUGCUGGAGGUAUCAGAAGUGCGAAUGCUGACAUAAGUAACGAUAAAGCGGGUGAAAAGCCCGCUCGCCGGAAGACCAAGGGUUCCUGUCCAACGUUAAUCGGGGCAGGGUGAGUCGACCCCUAAGGCGAGGCCGAAAGGCGUAGUCGAUGGGAAACAGGUUAAUAUUCCUGUACUUGGUGUUACUGCGAAGGGGGGACGGAGAAGGCUAUGUUAGCCGGGCGACGGUUGUCCCGGUUUAAGCAUGUAGGCUGAUUGUCCAGGCAAAUCCGGAUAAUCAAGGCUGAGGUGUGAUGACGAGGCACUACGGUGCUGAAGUAACAAAUGCCCUGCUUCCAGGAAAAGCCUCUAAGCAUCAGGUAACAUUAAAUCGUACCCCAAACCGACACAGGUGGUCAGGUAGAGAAUACCAAGGCGCUUGAGAGAACUCGGGUGAAGGAACUAGGCAAAAUGGUGCCGUAACUUCGGGAGAAGGCACGCUGGUGUGUAGGUGAAGUCCCUGCGGAUGGAGCUGAGACCAGUCGAAGAUACCAGCUGGCUGCAACUGUUUAUUAAAAACACAGCACUGUGCAAACACGAAAGUGGACGUAUACGGUGUGACGCCUGCCCGGUGCCGGAAGGUUAAUUGAUGGGGUUAUCCGUAAGGAGAAGCUCUUGAUCGAAGCCCCGGUAAACGGCGGCCGUAACUAUAACGGUCCUAAGGUAGCGAAAUUCCUUGUCGGGUAAGUUCCGACCUGCACGAAUGGCGUAAUGAUGGCCAGGCUGUCUCCACCCGAGACUCAGUGAAAUUGAACUCGCUGUGAAGAUGCAGUGUACCCGCGGCAAGACGGAAAGACCCCGUGAACCUUUACUAUAGCUUGACACUGAACAUUGAGCCUUGAUGUGUAGGAUAGGUGGGAGGCUUUGAAGCGUGGACGCCAGUCUGCGUGGAGCCAACCUUGAAAUACCACCCUUUAAUGUUUGAUGUUCUAACGUUGGCCCCUGACCGGGGUUGCGGACAGUGUCUGGUGGGUAGUUUGACUGGGGCGGUCUCCUCCCAAAGCGUAACGGAGGAGCACGAAGGUUAGCUAAUCCUGGUCGGACAUCAGGAGGUUAGUGCAAUGGCAUAAGCUAGCUUGACUGCGAGCGUGACGGCGCGAGCAGGUGCGAAAGCAGGUCAUAGUGAUCCGGUGGUUCUGAAUGGAAGGGCCAUCGCUCAACGGAUAAAAGGUACUCCGGGGAUAACAGGCUGAUACCGCCCAAGAGUUCAUAUCGACGGCGGUGUUUGGCACCUCGAUGUCGGCUCAUCACAUCCUGGGGCUGAAGUAGGUCCCAAGGGUAUGGCUGUUCGCCAUUUAAAGUGGUACGCGAGCUGGGUUUAGAACGUCGUGAGACAGUUCGGUCCCUAUCUGCCGUGGGCGCUGGAGAAUUGAGGGGGCUGCUCCUAGUACGAGAGGACCGGAGUGGACGCAUCACUGGUGUUCGGGUUGUCAUGCCAAUGGCACUGCCCGGUAGCUAAAUGCGGAAGAGAUAAGUGCUGAAAGCAUCUAAGCACGAAACUUGCCCCGAGAUGAGUUCUCCCUGAGACUUUAAGUCUCCUGAAGGAACGUUAAAGACGAUGACGUUGAUAGGCCGGGUGUGUAAGCGCAGCGAUGCGUUGAGCUAACCGGUACUAAUGAACCGUGAGGCUUAACCUUACAACGCCGAAG
RNAcentral lists this ribosomal RNA (2921 nucleotides) under Klebsiella pneumoniae. RNAcentral describes it as "23S ribosomal RNA". It matches the Rfam family "Bacterial large subunit ribosomal RNA". The record is from RNAcentral. Lineage: Bacteria; Pseudomonadati; Pseudomonadota; Gammaproteobacteria; Enterobacterales; Enterobacteriaceae.